AGUGUGGGACUACAGGUCGUGGAAGGAGGUGCUACACCGCGCGGUGCUUCUCGUUGUGUUUCUCCCAGACAGGACCACUAAGCUCUUCACCAGUGCGAUUAUUACUGACCCUCGCCUGUACCUGCACACCAGGACUGUUUACCUCCAUGCCUAGUGGUUCUAAUACCCCUCGUCUCGAGCCUUCAAUAAAAGACCACUUACCUACAUGCUCGUGUUACCAUUAAUAACUUCCUGUACCUCGAAAAACCUAGUGGUGCUAAUACGUUCAUUUGAGUCUCCUAAAUAAGACUAUUUACCUCGUUUGCGACCAGUAAUAAUUUAUUUACGAGGACUCCUUCAAAGCCAUUAUUAUUUCAUCGCCUUUGGUGCUAAAGCCUUUGUGUAAACCACCGAACCAGAACUUACUGCCAGGCUCGUACAGACGCAGAAAACGUUUGAGCCUGCCACAUACAAGGAUCUGGGCAGUGUGGUUGCAACUCCUCAGCCAAGCACCAAGGUGUUUACCUCGGGGCCCUGGGAUACAGCCUUCACCAUACCGACAACCUUCUCCACCAUACCAGUCACCAACUCACCUGCCAACAUUACUUCCUACAACAUCAUUCCACCCACCAUGCGAGCUGCAGCGUGGGUGAGUCAGAUCCCUGAAGCCAAGGAUGGUGGAGCAUCCGACCUCCUCCACCACCUGCCUCUCCUCCGACCCUCCAACACUGAGGCCAAGCUGCAGUAUCUCUCCAUCAUCCCCAAGGUAUUGGCACAUACAGUUACAUCAGCUGGGACCCAGCCGUCUGCAUUGGAAAAUGCUCGUCAGCUUCUCAGUUACUCCCUCAUCCACCCGGCCAUCACUGCGGAGGAGCGGCGAGCACUUGCACACUGGCUGCGGACACUGGAAGACAGACUGGCAGAACUCCGGAGACGCCCGCCCAACCUACAACGAGAAGGUUUCAGCAGCAGCAGCAACAACAGCAUUAGCUCAGGGAACAACAGCCUUGCAACUGGCAAGCCCAGAUGGAGUGAGCCACCUCUUAUACCACCUCCAGACACUGGCCAGGACAGGACGUUGCGCUCUCCUUCUCUGUCUGCUUGGGAUAGGACGUUGAGCUCCCCUUCUCUGGCUUCUUGGGAUGAUGUUGGUUGGUGUAGCGGAGCAACUGCAGCAGGCGGAACUCCUGGAGAAGCACCCCAGUCCCCUAACAACUCGGCAACCUCCUCACGAUCUUCUGGUUGUGAUUCCAACCUAGAAGAACCUUGCCAGCCACAUCCUGGUAUGAGAGAUGUUGGAGUGUGGCUUAAGUCUCUACGUCUGCACAAAUACUCACCAUUGCUCUGUAGUUUAACUUAUGAUGAGCUGCUGACCUUAGAUGAGGCAACGCUGGAAAGUCAGGGAGUUACCAAAGGAGCACGGCACAAAAUUGUCCUGUCUAUUAAUAAGCUAAAGGAACGCCACAAGCAAUUAGUUCAAAUUGAAAAGGAAGUGAUGAAUGGUGGUCACUUAUUAUCUUGCCUCAACGAACUCAAAUCAAUAAUCCUUACCCCGUUCCCACCUUAUGAGCCUCCAAGUGAUUCCUCUCAACCCACUCAGCAAAAUCUGCAGAAGCAGCCUCCCAUCUUGUCUCCUCCUGAAGCAGCAUCCACACCACCAGCCUCCACAAUGUCUUCCUCCACUUCAAAUUCCACUCUCUCUCCGUCUUGCUCUACUUCCUCCACUUCGACCACCACUGCCUCCUCUGCCUCCUCGUUAUCAGCUUCCACUUCUUCAUCUGCCUGUUCUUUGAGAGGGGAAGACAGAGAACUUCUGAAAGAUGAUAGAGUUGAAGCACCAAGAACUUCUCUAGAGGCAGAUAGUGGCAGCACCAUCCCAGAAGAUGAUCUGCCUUCUCAGUUUACACGGGUCAUGGGCAAAGUAUGUACGCAGCUGCUGGUUAGUGUAAGACCAGAAGAUGAGUGUGUUACUGCUUUCUUAGGAUUAGUAGAGAAAUGUGUCAACCACGAGGCAUUUACCCCAACUCAAGCACGCAGAUUACACUCUUGGAAGCAACAGAUUAUCCGUGUUUGGCAUCCUCUUCCACCUAAAACUAAAGAUAGCCGCCACAAUCGCAGAUGGAGUCAGCAGUACACUGGUGAUGGAUUCCUUGGUGGAUCCUUCAGAGUUCCUCGUGUUGGCAACCAGCGUCACACACACAUGUCAGCAGGGCUCCUUGUAGGGGGUAAGGGUUUCCCUACACCCCAGCCACAUACUCUCUUUCCUUUACCCCCUGCUGCUGCCGCUGCCGCUGCUGCUGCUGCUGCAGCCGCUAGUCUUGGAGGGCUGAUGAGUCCACGUAAUAGUUUACCUGGCCUCCCUUCACUUGGUGUAGGAGGGCUCCUCUCUCCACAGCAGUUCCUUGCGAAACGACCAUCACUUCAAGAAACUCCUUCUGAGUUGCGGCCGCACAUCACUUUACAGCGAACAAGAUCAGCACCAUCCCGUCCUCACCAGUUGCCACUCACUGGUCCUGCUCGCUCUGUGGCUCCUCCCACUACAUCCUCCUCUCUUGCCCCAGGGAGUGGUGGCUGUGGCGAACUACGACUCUCUGGUGGCUCAGGGGCUUCAGGAUCAGUAUUGGAACCUCAUUUUUCUCCUGCAGCCUCAUACUCACAUUUGGGAGUCCCUCCUUCAUCGCCAGAUCCAGCGGAUAAUGAUAUUACUGACCGUUUGGAAUCACUUUGUCUCUCUGUCACUGAACAUGCUCUGGGUUGAGCUGACAUCUGCUGCUACCACUUAUUGUAGUUCUCCAUCCACAUCAUAUCCAUACUGAAGAGGCACUGGUCAUGUUCUUAGAACUGUUGCAGUCUGUGGAAAUCCUUGAAAUGUGGCCCCUUAAACAGCAGUAUUUUACAUACUUCUUCACAUAAAACGUGUGUCUGCACUUUGAUGGGUGCCGCAUUGUGUGCACAGACACAACAUCUCUUCUGAGCCCAUUUCUUCUUUUCUGUAGCAGGAAGUGUUGUAAGGAAGUGAUCACCAAACUUCACACAAGAGGAUAUUUGGUGAUUAUCUGACGUCAUCAGCAUCACUUUCGGUCAUUAUGUUAUUGAAACCAAAGAACUUGCCAUCAGUUUCAUAAUUAUCAUUGUUGGAGCUAUCGAUGGGGAACAAAACUUGUUCAGUUUGCCUUUAUAUCCAUGUUGCAUGGUGAACAAGGUGUACUAAGUAUGGGGUUCCCACAGUGCACUGUGGGGGGCCCCAAUUUUUAUGUAUAAUAUUAAUACUGACUGUGCAGACCCAUUCUCUCAUAUGUAGACCUACCAGGCCUCUCCCACCAAAUUAGAAUUUAUGUGUAGAUUUAUGUGAGGGACCCUGGCAUCAGUAACGGCCACUGAAAGGGUUUAAAAAGUGUUUGCGAGCUUCAAGUAAUGUGUUGAGAUUUUCAUUAUACAGUCAUACACGUGUAUUUUUCAAGGAAUGUGCUUGCCUUGGUUCUACCAUAAAAUAUAUAGUUUUUGCCAAGGUCAAGACUCUCAGUAAAGUGCUUUGUGCAACUUAGUUUAGUUUUGUAACCAAAAAUUUUGUUGAACUCCUCAUUGAGACACUCAGGACAAUGCAUCCUCAAUGCCCUUCAGAAACAUUGCUGAAAAAAUGGCUCCGUUUAACCCUCUUCUCAUGUUUUGAGAAAUAGUUUAUACUGUAUAGGAAUAAAUGUGUGUAGUCUUACCAAAGGUAUUUAAUUUAAAUUUGCUGUCACUUUUGUGUAUCAAAACAUCUUAAAUUGAUAGUUCACCUAAUGUUUCAUUGGGAUGGAUAAAUUCUAAUACUGACUAUGGGUCAUUUUAUUUGAUUAUGUAUUGAAAAGAUGAUGAGCUAUAUCACUCUUAUUUUAAAGGACCCACUUAAAAUAAUGAUUCAGAUUGCUUAUAUGUAACUUUGAUUUUGAGGUGUAAUUCUUGGGUGAGUUAACAUGACCACUAACAUGAAUGAUUAUAUAUAUAGUGAAGAACAAACAUUUGUAUGCAUGUCAUCUAAAAAUUAAGAACCUAUCUUUCUUAGUAAUAAUUACAAUAAUAAUUGAAGCAACCUUGUUUAAUAAUGCAUUCUUGAGUAAAAUUAUUCUAAACUGAAGUUUAAGUGUUGAAUACCCAUAUGGGUUUAGUGGUUAAAUUGAUUAUGUUCUUAUUAGGUAUGGAAUAUUUGGCCAUGGAUUUGACUGUCAACUAUUGAAACAUGUGUACAUACAUAUGUGUGUGUGUGUGUAUGCAUGUGUAUAUGUGCAUGCUUGUGUGUGUGCAUGCAUGUGUAUAUGUGCAUGCUUGUGUGUGUGCAUGCAUGUAUGUAUGUUUUUUAACACACCAACCAUCUCCCACCGAAAAAGACCAGAAAAAGAAGAAACACUUCCACCUUCUUUCACUCUAUUACUGUUAUGUCAAAAGUAUGCUAAUACUAUAGUUCAGAUGCCCCUCCAAACUCCAUAUAUCCCUACCCCUCCUUCAGAGUGCAGGCACUGUACUUUCCACCUCCAGGACUCUGAAUCCUACUAACUGGCUUUCCUGAAUCCCUUCUCAAAUAUUACCAUGCUCACACUCCAACAGCUCAUUAAGUCCCAAAAGCUAUUUUCCUCCACUCCCAUCUAACACAUUAACACACACCUGCUGGAUGUCCAUCCCCUUGCACACAAAACCUUCUUUACCUCUCCUUACAACCUGUCCUAGGGCAACCCCUACCUUGCCUUCCCUCCAAUACAGGUUUAUACACCCUUCAAUUCAUCCUAAUUUUCUCUAUCCUCUCUAAAUGUCCAAAUCACCUCACCAACCCCUCCUUAGCCCUUUGGAUAAUACUUUUAGUAACCCUGUACCUCCUAAUUCUAUUCUAUGAAUCUAUCUUUCUUUCAACACACCGGCCGUAUCCCACCAAGGCAGGGUGGCCCAAAAAUAAAAUGAAAGUUUCUCUUUUAAAUUUAGUAAUUUAUACAGGAGAAGGGGUUACUAGCCCCUUGCUCCCGGCAUUUUAGUUGCCUCUUACAACACGCAUGGCUUACGGAGGAAGAAUUCUGUUCCACUUCCCCAUGGAGGUAAGAGGAAAUAAACAAGAAGAAGAACUAGAAAGAAAAUAGAAGAAUACCCAGAGGGGUGUGUAUAUAUAUGCUUGUUCAUGUAUGUGUAGUGUGACCUAAGUGUAAGUAGAAGUAGCAAGACGUACCUGAAAUCUUGCAUGUUUAUGAGACAGACAAAAGACACCAGCAAUCCUACCAUCAUGUAAAAUAAUUACAGGUUUUCGUUGUACACUCACUUGGCAGGACGGUAGUACCUCCCUGGGCGGUUGCUGUUUACCAACCUACUACCUAGGUAAUCUAUGAAUACUUUUCAUAAUAGCUAUGAAUAGGUAAAACUUGCGAUUUUGGCUUAAAUAGCAAUGCUCUUCUUCAGAAUAAGACAAGUGAAAAUUUGUGUAUACAAUAAUUUUGCAGAAAUCAUUCUGAGCCUAAUGAAAAAAAUAUAUUUCAUUGUGUUUGUUUAUUAUUAAAUUAUUGUAAACUUAUCUAAAAUAUAUUUAGUUGGAUUAGGCCUAAUUAAAUUGCACUCAUUAUAAUAAGUUAGGUAAGUUUUCUAAGGUUCUUUUGGUACAAAAUUAUUAA
Molecule: non-coding RNA, 5606 nt
Organism: Cherax quadricarinatus
Lineage: Eukaryota; Metazoa; Arthropoda; Malacostraca; Decapoda; Parastacidae
Source: RefSeq, a predicted model, not a curated record